UUUAAGCUAGGUGCCCAAAGGGGGGUAACAAAGAUUCUAAGAGUUCUAGGAUUAUAAGGAGUUACAAAGAUACUAAGAGUUCUAGGUUUAUAAGGAGUUACAAAGAUACUAAGAGUUCUAGGUUUAUAAGGAGUUACAAAGAUAAAGAGUAUUCCAGGUUUCAGAAGAAGUGGUCUUACCGUUAUGCUAUAGGAAUCUGUUACACGCAAAGUUUGUUGUAGUUUAUUAAUGAAAUAAAGCUGUUUAUGCUUUAUUUCUAUAUGAAAUACGAAUUAACUUUUUUUUUUGCUAUGAUUAUUACAUUUUUUAGGCUAUAGAACACCUCGUGCGACCGACACAUGCUUUAACUGUGGAUUCACUGGAGUUGAUAAUGUAGAUACUAUUGUAGGGCCUAUGAUGACGGAGGAGGCAGAUUUUGAGGAGCAGGCAAAUAAAGAGCCAGAUGGUUUGUGCAACAGUGAGACAGGUAGAACAUUCACAUAUUAACGAAGGGGAACUUAACAGCGAACGGCAGUACUACGAAAAUUUAGCCUUUAAUAAAAGAAUAGAAACACCGGACUCUAAAGUGUUUCCUAUUGAUAAGGAUGGAUACAAGAAUCCUUUUUGAAAACAAAAAGGACAAAAAAGUACUUUAUCGUGAAAAAUAAAACUUUCGACCAUUUAA
Nematostella vectensis (starlet sea anemone) is the source of this 664-nucleotide long non-coding RNA. RefSeq lists it as uncharacterized. The transcript is spliced from 2 exons. Lineage: Eukaryota; Metazoa; Cnidaria; Anthozoa; Actiniaria; Edwardsiidae. The record is from RefSeq and is a predicted model, not a curated record.